CAGUCGCCGCGGGAAUACGUAGGGCGCAAGCGUUAUCCGGAAUUAUUGGGCGUAAAGAGCUCGUAGGCGGUUUGUCGCGUCUGCCGUGAAAGUCCGGGGCUCAACCCCGGAUCUGCGGUGGGUACGGGCAGACUAGAGUGAUGUAGGGGAGACUGGAAUUCCUGGUGUAGCGGUGAAAUGCGCAGAUAUCAGGAGGAACACCGAUGGCGAAGGCAGGUCUCUGGGCAUUAACUGACGCUGAGGAGCGAAAGCAUGGGGAGCGAACAGGAUUAGAUACCCCAGUAGUCCCUGUCUCUUAUAA
RNAcentral lists this ribosomal RNA (301 nucleotides) under uncultured bacterium. RNAcentral describes it as "partial 16S ribosomal RNA". It matches the Rfam family "Bacterial small subunit ribosomal RNA", at positions 509 to 809 of the family's 1533-position model. The record is from RNAcentral.